This is a long non-coding RNA of Papaver somniferum (opium poppy), 1756 nucleotides long. RefSeq lists it as uncharacterized. The transcript is spliced from 6 exons. Lineage: Eukaryota; Viridiplantae; Streptophyta; Magnoliopsida; Ranunculales; Papaveraceae. The record is from RefSeq and is a predicted model, not a curated record.
UACCAGCACAACUAUUUGUUCUCCUUUUUUCUUUCACUUCUACGAAGUAAACCCUAGAUUCAAAAAAAAAAUUCUCCUUUUUUUUGAUUUUUUUCACUCAAAAUCUUUAACCCAAUUUCUGAUCUUAGAUCAGAUUCAUGCUCACCAUGGUUUCUAACAGAUGGGGAUUUAGGCUUCACGGAUUUGAAUUACAGAUGAAAAAGAUGAAACUGAUGGUGAGAAACUAAAAGAAGAAGAUUGAGUUUGUGUUCUGAGAUUCGUGAAUAUCACAGGCGCCAUCCAAAUUCUCGUGUUUUGGAUGUAUACGAGGAGGCUGAGGAGUUGCUGAAAGAAGAACCACAUGUGGAGUUCAGUAGCGUGGUUCCUUCCCCAACUUCUUUUAUUGCAGGAAUUUGUGUACAUCUUGCUAGUAUUUCCUUCAUUUUCUCUGACAUAAAAAUCUUUCUCUCCAUUCUAUACAUCUUAAUUUCAGCUAUUUCAGUUCCACUGAUUUGUUAUUUUGUACUGAAUGUGCUCUCCAGGAAGGUCAUGGACGGUACUUGGACUUGCAUGAGCUGAACAAUGAGUACAUUAAUUCUAAGUUUGCAGAGCUAAAUGAGAAAGCAAAAGAACCAAUAAAGUAUUCUACGUAUCUGGAUUUGUUCUCCCAACCACAUAAAAUUUCAUGUAAACUAAAGCUAAGAAGGUAACUUUGCUGCAGUACAGUACAGUGCAUGAGUUAAUGGACCUGGGUAAGGACAUAUUAAAAGAGGUAUGUCUCUUCUGCUAAAGAUUGAUUGUUUAAAGUUCUCUUGAGUUCGCAUCUGUGAAUUAGUAGUACAGAUAAUUUGUCAUUUGUAUAGUUCAUCUGCGAGUUUACAUUUUCUUAAUAGAUUAUCUCGAUUUUUUUUUUUUGGAUGACCUGUUUUGCUGAAAGGAGGGCUCUUAAGUUUUGUCAAUAUUUCUCUGUUAGUGGGGGCACUAACCUUAAGUUUAAACUGGGGAAGUCUGGUUGAUUGAAGGCUUUAUUUUCUGUAACAGAGUCCAUCGAUCAAAGAUGCACAUUAUGUGGUUGUUGGUAAGCCCAAAAGAUUGCUAGUCAGUCACUUUAAAUUUCAGCUUAUAAUAUAUCUCAAUCACUUUUUUGUAGUCGAUACCUAGCUAGUGCAGGGGAAGAUCAAAUAAUGCAAAUGAUGGCAUCAUAUACUUUGUAUUGGCUUUUCAGUUUUUCCUCAGACCUGCUGGAAGAUUUAUUUGAAUUCAGAAUGUAGUUCUGAAGUAUGGAGGUGAAGCUCUUGACCUUAGAAAAAGACAAUCUUGUUCUUAGACAAAAGCAGUAACCACCCAACUUAAGAGCAAUCACCCCUUGAAAUGCUGUUGCAAAAGAAAGCCUUCUCAUAGACUUCGGAUUUUUAUUUCAGAUUUUUAGCAGCUUCAGUGGAAGUGGGCGUGCCACAUCUUGCUAGCGCAUUGCUCUUGCUGGUUCCUCCAGUAGAAAUGCCUCACAACCCAUGUUGACAACUUAAACUUCAACCUUUGGGCAUGCCUCAUGCAGCAGAAAUAUUCACCUAGGUAGCUGGUUUCCUUAGUUCCAAAGAAUGUGAGAGUUCUUUUUUCUUUAAAUCGUUUUGUAAGAACCUUGGUAUGAUACUCGGUUUAUAGAUUCCUUCAUAUGAUUUUUAUGGUGUGCUUCAUACAUUUUGUGUACGAGUUCAUGAUGGUGAAUUAACUCUAAGAACACUAUCUUGAUACUACUAUUGAUUAAUUUGAUUUCAAA